GGUUGGAAAUCAUUCAUAGAGUGUAAAGGCAUAAGGGAGCUUGACUGCGAGACCUACAAGUCGAGCAGGGUCGAAAGACGGACUUAGUGAUCCGGUGGUUCCGCAUGGAAGGGCCAUCGCUCAACGGAUAAAAGCUACCCCGGGGAUAACAGGCUUAUCUCCCCCAAGAGUUCACAUCGACGGGGAGGUUUGGCACCUCGAUGUCGGCUCAUCGCAUCCUGGGGCUGUAGUCGGUCCCAAGGGUUGGGCUGUUCGCCCAUUAAAGCGGUACGCGAGCUGGGUUCAGAACGUCGUGAGACAGUUCGGUCCCUAUCCGUCGUGGGCGUAGGAAAUUUGAGAGGAGCUGUCCUUAGUACGAGAGGACCGGGAUGGACAUACCUCUGGUGUACCAGUUGUCGUGCCAACGGCAUAGCUGGGUAGCUAUGUGUGGACGGGAUAAGUGCUGAAAGCAUCUAAGCAUGAAGCCCCCCUCAAGAUGAGAUUUCCCAACUUCGGUUAUAAGAUCCCUCAAAGAUGAUGAGGUUAAUAGGUUCGAGGUGGAAGCAUGGUGACAUGUGGAGCUGACGAAUACUAAUCGAUCGAAGACUUAAUCAA
This 594-nucleotide ribosomal RNA is filed under the name Staphylococcus aureus. RNAcentral describes it as "partial 23S ribosomal RNA". It matches the Rfam family "Bacterial large subunit ribosomal RNA", at positions 2329 to 2925 of the family's 2925-position model. The record is from RNAcentral. Lineage: Bacteria; Bacillati; Bacillota; Bacilli; Caryophanales; Staphylococcaceae.